UUCUUGUGCAAACCUCGGGGUGGGGUGCC
RNAcentral lists this non-coding RNA (29 nucleotides) under Rattus norvegicus (Norway rat). The record is from RNAcentral. Lineage: Eukaryota; Metazoa; Chordata; Mammalia; Rodentia; Muridae.